RNAcentral lists this long non-coding RNA (1084 nucleotides) under Mus musculus (house mouse). RNAcentral's name for it is "predicted gene, 19605". The record is from RNAcentral. Lineage: Eukaryota; Metazoa; Chordata; Mammalia; Rodentia; Muridae.
GGGAGAGCAGCGAGAAAGCAGAAAAACCAGCUUUGAACUCUGCGUGCAAGGCCUCCUGAGCCUCAGGCCCCAGCCAAAGAUGCUGCGGGAUUCUACAGCUCAGCAGAGCAUGGGGGCAGGGCAUGCCAGGCGAGUGACCUCAGUCCUAGUGUACUCUCUCUAACACUCAAGUGGAAGACGCCUGAUGGUGUUCUCUGCACUGCAGUUGUGGGCGACUGGAGCAGCUGCUGCUUGGAUAGCAAGACCCCAAACACCAAGUGAAGGGAAUGACUUGGACUAAUGUUUCACUGAGCAGGCCUGAGACUAUAAUCAACCUCUGAGGUUAAAUUACAAAGCACCCUUCACACCUCAAAUGACUGAGGCUUUUAUAUGACCCAGCAAUGAACAAGCACAGAGGGACAGGCAUCUCCCACACAAGGGGGACAUCACUAAUCUGGGAGUUAUGUGGACACAAUCUGCUAUGGGUCAGACGCUUCCCUCUGAAGUCAUGUAAGGAGCGGUUCCAAGACACGAACAGCGACAACAAAUGUUACAGAUAAGCUCACAGAUGAGUCGGCCUGUGACGCCUGGGAGGCACAAGGACCCUGAACAGAGCGGUCAGCAGUGCCGAGACUGGCAAGGAGGUGACAGUGGUCUCAGCAAACGGAGAGGCUUGGUAUACUCUGAAUAAGUGUGGGGGAUGUGACUGCGUGACAGAGAGCAGUCGGCCAGCACCAUCACUUCUGCUAGGCCAACACAGAUGAUGUUGCUUCCACAGUGAAGAAAAAUGUCAUCGCCUGAGUCACACAGCCUCACCUUUGAUGUACUCCAGCCAAGACAGCCUCCACUUAGAGCACCUACAAGGGGGAGUGGGGCGCUGAGUAGCAGCUGGCUCGGCAGACUAUUUAUUAGUCAAGUGUCACGGCUUAAGGAAUUCCCAAACUGCAAGUAUUUGGCAAAAGGAUUCUGGCCCAAGAAAAACAAACAAAGCCUGCUGGAGGACUUUCAUUCUAAGGCCUCGAUUUGUUAAAAAUAUUUGAGGAUGGUGAUUAGCACAUCAUAAAAAUAAAGAGGCGCGCAGAAAGAAGACAUUAUGAGCUUGAUG